GAAAUCCCUGGCUCGAAGAAGAGGCAGAGGAGAUGCAUGGAUUCGUUGUUUAUUUGAUGUGAUGUUAAGAAAUUUCUCUAUUUUGCAGGUCGAAGUAUUGGUUAUGUGAUUAUACCCUGAGGAACUCCCACCUACAAAAGAGGACUUGAACGUGCUAGAAUGAAGAAAAAAGAAGAAGAGCUGCUAUGUAUCAGUUUAUUUUAUGUGCUGUUAAGAAAACUCUCUACUUUCAAGGUCGAAGUUAUGACAAUUGAUGAUGGCUAAAGAUACUAGGGUGGAAACUCUGUGCUAUUGCGUGUCCUUGUGCCAGGAAAUCACAUUUCCCUAUCUAUUGCCAGAUCUAAAGAUGCAAGAAUUUAUUUGAAAAAAAAAGGUAGCAGGUUAAAGUGAGAUUCUCAUCACAAAUUAUGAUCUCUCCUUUAUCAGAAAUUGUAUGAUAGCAUGGCAAUCCAAUUAAUGUAUCAUCUGAAAUCCGGAUUAGAAGUUUGGUCUGCACUUGAAUUUCUUUAUUUUUUUUUUGUCAAAUUUUUUACUGUCUGUUCAUAAAUUUCAAUAUUCAUAUUUCUUUAUUCAUUACCUACUAUUAUAUGAAUAACAAUUAAAUUUUUAGCAUAACUAAAUGAGUGGUGCACAGAAGCCCAACACAAGUCAUUACAAAGUCAAGCACUCAAUUGAGUUAGAGAAAUACCAUAGCAUAUUAAAACCCUAAACAAUCUCUGAUUUAUAAAAUAAGAAAAAAAAAAACAUAAUCAAUCUUGCUCACAAAACUGCAAGCUGCUGAGAGAUCUUGUGAGACAACCUCUUUGCUGUAUCUCAAGAACCUUACAAGUAAGUUUUUUGCUUUUGAAUUUCUAUUUUGAGUCAUAAAGCUCAAUUGCUAAGUGAAUUUGUUUUUUAUUCAUGGGUUCAUGUCUGUAGUCCUUUUCUGGUUAGGAAUUGUUGAGAUUUCUUGUCUAGAUACAUGUGACAAUGGUAGAUCUUAGUCCGUGUCCCAUAAAUGAAGCUAUGGUUUAAGAAAUUGGGGGUUUUGUGGUUUAGAGCUCAAAAGAAUCUAGAGUUAAGUUCAGUAGCUGAAUUAUCCAGAGAUAGGAGAGCAGAGAAGGAUUAAUACCAUCAAGUAUUUGAUGGAAUGUGUAAGGUAGGUGAAGUGUUUGAAGAAAAGACUGAGAGAAGGAAAGAUGAGAUAU
Long non-coding RNA from Populus euphratica (Euphrates poplar), 1187 nucleotides. RefSeq lists it as uncharacterized. The transcript has 5 exons. The record is from RefSeq and is a predicted model, not a curated record. Lineage: Eukaryota; Viridiplantae; Streptophyta; Magnoliopsida; Malpighiales; Salicaceae.